Molecule: long non-coding RNA, 886 nt
Filed under: Manihot esculenta (cassava)
Lineage: Eukaryota; Viridiplantae; Streptophyta; Magnoliopsida; Malpighiales; Euphorbiaceae
Description: long non-coding RNA (MESC_LNC006328)
Source: RNAcentral
CUAAAUCCAUGAUCCAAGAAGCAAAACCAAUCCCAAUAUUUAAGGAUAAGAUAAAUUUUGUAUCAAGGGAUUGACCAACCAAUAAUCACUCUGAAGAGCAAAAUCAGGCAAAUAGAAUUUAACCAAGCCCUAAAGAGUAAAGAACUCCCACUGACUAAUUGUUUGCAGCAGACAUGUGAAAUAACCACUCCCACAGGCUGAGAAACUAGUAACGCUAAUGGUUUUCUAUGAAAGGCCUAAGAAAUGAUCCAUCCAUUUAUUUACUUCAAUAUUACCGGUCACGGAAGGAAAGCUGCUCAAGUACUAACACCAAAAAGACAAAACUAUCUAUAAAUGAUAAAUCUUUAAUAUCCCAAAUAAUCAAGCAACCAUCAACUGAUUUCAGUGCCAAUUAUAAAUUCACUUUAACAUAUAAAAGAAUAACACCAAAAAUGUCCAUUUUUAACUGGAUAGUUAACAAGAUUAGCAACAUCUGAAGUUAACUGUACUGACUGACCAAGGAAAAAACACUAACACCACCCCUCCCCCCAAUCGAAAUAGCCAUCAGCUGCUUUCCGUGUAUAUAACUAUCCAAAACCAGAGCCAACAAGAAAUUAAGAACAAAACUUGACCUAUAUCGUAUACCCACAUAAAUACCUAGUUUUGAAAUACCCAGCAUCUAAUUCUGCUUCUAAUCAAUAACCCAGCACAGCAAAUACUGUAAUAAGACCGACAUCCUCAAAUUCAACGAAAUCAAUCAAUCGAUCGAUCGAUUGAUAGAUAAGAACCUUACAUCUCCUCAGCAAGUAAACAAAGCAAAAUCCAUAUCAAGAUGGAGAAAAAAGACAAAGGACAGAAAAUACAGCAAUAUAGAAACUUACAGCUGGGAAACGGGUGUCUAGCUUCU